This 275-nucleotide ribosomal RNA is filed under the name uncultured prokaryote. RNAcentral's name for it is "partial 16S ribosomal RNA". It matches the Rfam family "Bacterial small subunit ribosomal RNA", at positions 524 to 798 of the family's 1533-position model. The record is from RNAcentral.
CACGUAGGAGGCAAACGUUAUCCGGAUUUACUGGGCGUAAAGCGCGUGUAGGUGGUUCUGUAAGUAGGGCGUGAAAGCUCCCGGCUCAACUGGGAGAGGCCGUUCUAAACUGCAGAGCUAGAGGAUGGUAGAGGGAGGUGGAAUUCCAGGUGUAGCGGUGGAAUGCGCAGAUAUCUGGAGGAACACCAGUGGCGAAGGCGGCCUCCUGGACCAUUCCUGACACUCAGACGCGAAAGCUAGGGUAGCAAACGGGAUUAGAUACCCGUGUAGUCCCU